ACAAGGAAAUUUUAAAGCAAUUUCCGCAAUGUUGACGCUUUAAAAAAUAAUAAAUAAUAUUGUUUACCAACGACAACGACACGAGCAAAAUUGAUCGGCUAGCGAACGUCGUGGAUUCGUAUGCAUAGAUAAGUUGCAAUGACCACCAGCUUGGGACUCACAUGUACAUAUACAUAUAGAUUCGUCGUAAUAGAAAUCAGCUUGAGAACUGAUUUUUACUUAAACUACAGUUACAAUUUAUUGAAUAUAGAGGUUUAUGGUUAAUUUCAACGCCGAACCAAGUUUGCGAUUGUAUGGGUCGCUACUCGACCGCGAAGAGGCGCGCUGUUCAAAAAGACGAAAAAGGUUACUUUUCCCGACGUGACGUUUAUUACGCAUUUGCGUAACGGUAUUACUUUAUACCGGUUCCAAGCGAUUACUGAAUACGGGACAUUUCUAUAAUAAGGAUCAACUAGCGUCAGAUUAAUGAAUUUAUCGACUUGUGUCCGCUACGAUGAGCGAGCGUAUCGCUGAAAUUCCAUCUUCCAAAUUCUAGACGAAUUAGCAGAAAUGUUCGAGAACAACUACCGACCUAUUUACGAAUCUUACCUUGUCUACAUCUUGAAAAAGAACGUUUCUACGUUACAUGUUUCAGGUGUUCCGUUGCUGGGGUAUAAUAAAUAAUAAUAAAUAUAUAUUAAUGUUUGUUAGCUUUGCAGAUAUUCACACUUUACAACACUAUACGAUGUCUAGACGGUCAAAUGUAAAUGUGGAAAUUUUGUCUAGCACGAAUUUAAUAAUAAAGCGUUAUGGACGAGUACAAUUUAUUAUUAAUCAAAUGAAAAAGCAUGGAAAAAGCUAUUUGCAGAAACGAUUAUUAUUAUUCGAUGUAAACGGAAUAAAUACAUAAAGAACGAGACAAGUUUUUUUUCUUUCUUUGUUUUUAAAUGUUGAAUAAAAUUAAGUAAAUAAAAUAAAAUAAAAUAAAAUAAAAUAAAAUAAAAAAUGUAUAUUGUCGGGUAUAAGGUCGACGAUUGUACAACUUACGAUAAAUGUUCGAAAUUCCAUCGUAGUAUCCUUUUGCGUUUAUCUUGUUGAAUGCACAGGCGAGGCGUACUUGAAUUCAAAACUGGAGACCUGUUUCAGGGAUGUCUGGUGACCAGUCGACGGUCAUAGCAAAACUGAACACAUUGAACCCGCGCUAUGGUAUAAGGAGCUACCUGGCUUCGGUCGCUUACUCGUCGCCACCAUAGGUACGCGCGGUCCAUACCACGUCGAAUCGCCAAGUAAACCUCGUACAUACAUUUAUCGUUUCGUCGCUUCUAAACACUGGUUCAUCCUAAAACUGCUAGUUUUAGAAUGUCUAACAAUAACAGUAAGAAACGGAGAAUUACACGGUAUCGAUCUAGGCCAAAUUUAACAAGGCUAGUUGUUUCUAACCAAAGUCAAAUCGAACUAUCGAUCAUGCGUUUUUCUGUUUUUAUAAAUGUUUCGUCGAAAGAAAGUGGAAAUUUGACAUGUUGGGAAAAAAGUAUUAUAUACUUUUGCUGUGUUGCGCGCCAUCGGCGUCGGACUGUUUGUUGCGCAUGCGCACCCGUGACUGACUCGAGACAGAAGCGAAGAUAGCGGGAAACGUUCGCAACGGACAAAGACGCGAGCUGCUUGUAUCCUUUUCUUCAAAGAAUCGCGCUGCUCGUCACCGUCUAAUGUAACUGUCGAUGUCGUGGCAUUCCAAUAUAAUCGUCAUUUUCGAGAUACAACGUAACCCGUCAACGGAUUUUGUCCUAGAAUAAGAUCGGGUAUGGAGUACACGAUUAUUCGACAGCUUAAUAACGAUUAAUUACGAUACGUGGGAUGAGCAACACCUCCUGCUUACGGAUCGAAAAGUUGAAUUCGGAGCAAAGAAAAAUGGUAAAUUAGUAGUGUAAAAGUAAGUAGCAUUUCAGCGAUUCGAUAUCUUUCAGCUAGAUGACCCGUUGCAUCGUACAAGAAGCCUCGUCCUGAAGCGAGAUCAAGGCAUUUCCGGAUAUGCACGUUGCGAUAGCAGUUGGUCAAGGCCAUCGACUCAUUCAACAUCCUUCCACGACGAGUACAAAGAAGAAUGUGGAACGGCACAACCUGUCGGUCUACCCAUUGCCGUACCAACCGUACCUUUUUUAUUUUCCAAAUCUAGACGUUCCUGCGAUCACUACACGAAAUUCUGUGUUUACUGUGGCUACUCUCCAAGCGUGUGCCUCUUUCCAGCAAGCUGCAAAACUUGCAAAACUUUUCUUGUUCCAAUUCUAUUAAAAUUUUAUUAGAUACGAAUCGUGCAUUACUCGAGAAAUUAAUGGACCCUGUGUGCUACUUUGUAAGCUGCGAUAACAAACGAGAUGUCGAAAAAAUACAACACGAGGAAUGUUGCGGUAAAAUUUGAUCAUCCGUGUUUACGACAUUGGUAAACGAACGAAUGUAUCAGGUUCACCGCUUGGGAGCGCUGUGUAGGUCGUUGAUUCGCAAUGCAGUCGUGCCUUUUGUAAAACAGAUGAUACAUACACGCUGAUGUUUCGAGGAAAGGGAUGACCUAAUAUCGUAAGAGGUCUAGAAAGUUAAACAGCAAUCUUGUCAAACUGUAUUUCACAACACGCUGGCCUCGUACACUUAACUUUUACGCUUCGAUCAAAUGAAAUCGAAUAAACUUACCGUUACGAUGAAAUCCGGUAAACUUGAAUACGCCUUCGCUGGACAGGAGUGUAAUUUAUUCUUCCAUUUCACGUCAUGUAUACUGCGAUACAUUCUACCACACUUGUGAACUUUUGGAAAUUUAUCCAAGAUUUCGUAUAACCCGAAAAAAUAACUCUAAGAAACCUAACACGAAAGAAAAGGAUUAUCGAUGCACGAUUGUUCAACUUGGAUGAAUACAAGAUAUACAAUUUCAAUUUUUUCUUUUAAACAUGUCCCUUGAAAGAUUCAUAUCAGCUAAAUAUCAUUACGGUAAAUUAUACAUAUAAUACGACGGAUUUCUGUUUGCACGUUUUCCAACUAGAUGCCAACUAGAUGCCAACUAGAACAGAGCGCAAUGGGCUAAAACGGAAUAGCUAGAGUAUACAUACAGUAAGUACAUUUCGUACCAAUGUUGGAAUAAAAGUAAAACCAUAAAGAUCCGCGACUUACCCAAUUCCAGCAAUGUAAAAAGUAUAUCUUCUGGUCUUUGUAGCGUCAACUGCUUCGUAACAAAAAACCAAGGAAUUCUCUCGAGGGAAUUUUUGCUAGCGAGAGCAGAAGGUGUAACACAGAAAACAGUUUCGACGAUUUAGUAGGAUAGAUGACAUUUAUUUCAUUACUUAAUCGUUAUUACUUGCUAUUUGAAUGCUAUAAUCGUAUAGAUAUUUAUAAUUAUGUCGAUAAUUAUGCGUGAAUUUAAAGAAUACGUGAGGUCAGCCGCAAGAUGUACAGCCCGCGUCAGUGUUACAAUGAUCGUACAAGUAAAUAAUUACAGAACGAAAUUACGUUUACUUCUCGAUGCAAACACUCAUUGAGGGGUGAGGAUGGGACGAUGGCGGCUCAUCGAUUUCCUUCGACACCUAAUAUUUCCCUAUCGAUCGAUCUCAAUUUACACACGUUCGAACGCGGUAGAAUACUUCUCUCUCUCUCUCUCUCUCUCUCUCUCUCUCUCUCUCUCUCUCUUUCUCGCUCGCUCGCUCGCUCGCUCUCGUUAAUUCGAUUAA
Molecule: long non-coding RNA, 3686 nt
Organism: Hylaeus anthracinus
Lineage: Eukaryota; Metazoa; Arthropoda; Insecta; Hymenoptera; Colletidae
Exons: 2
Source: RefSeq, a predicted model, not a curated record